AACGAACGCUGGCGGCAUGCCUAACACAUGCAAGUCGAACGAGACCUUCGGGUCUAGUGGCGCACGGGUGCGUAACGCGUGGGAACCUGCCCUUAGGUUCGGAAUAACUCCCCGAAAGGGGUGCUAAUACCGGAUAAUUUCUUCGGACCAAAGAUUUAUCGCCUUUGGAUGGGCCCGCGUUGGAUUAGCUAGUUGGUAGGGUAAAAGCCUACCAAGGCGACGAUCCAUAGCUGGGCUGAGAGGAUGAUCAGCCACACUGGGACUGAGACACGGCCCAGACUCCUACGGGAGGCAGCAGUGGGGAAUAUUGGACAAUGGGCGAAAGCCUGAUCCAGCAAUGCCGCGUGAGUGAUGAAGGCCUUAGGGUUGUAAAGCUCUUUUACCCGGGAUGAUAAUGACAGUACCGGGAGAAUAAGCUCCGGCUAACUCCGUG
This 433-nucleotide ribosomal RNA is filed under the name uncultured bacterium. RNAcentral describes it as "partial 16S ribosomal RNA". It matches the Rfam family "Bacterial small subunit ribosomal RNA", at positions 29 to 507 of the family's 1533-position model. The record is from RNAcentral.